RNAcentral lists this unclassified non-coding RNA (169 nucleotides) under Kernia pachypleura. RNAcentral's name for it is "partial internal transcribed spacer 2". The record is from RNAcentral. Lineage: Eukaryota; Fungi; Ascomycota; Sordariomycetes; Microascales; Microascaceae.
CAGCCCUCGACCCGCUAUUCGCGUAGCUGGAUCGGUGUUGGGGCACUACGGUGGAAUACCCGUAGGCUCCGAAAUGAAGUGGCGGUCCCGCCGCGGCGCCCCCAUGCGUAGUAACAUCUCGUCUCGCAUCGGGUCCCGGUGUAUUGGCUCCCAUAAGCUACCCCUUCUA